UAGUCCACGCCGUAAACGAUGGAUACUAGGUGUCCGGGAAGUUAACCUCCUGGGUACUACAGCUAACGCGUUAAGUAUCCCGCCUGGGGAGUACGGUCGCAAGGCUAAAACUCAAUGGAAUUGACGGGGGCCCGCACAAGCGGUGGAGUAUGUGGUUUAAUUCGAAGCAACGCGCAGAACCUUACCUACCCUUAACAUUUCACGCUCGCCUCAGAGAUGAGGUUUUCUCUUCGGAGACGUGAGGAUAGGUGCUACAUGGCUGUCGUCAGCUCGUGUCGUAAGAUGUCUGGUUAAGUCCAAUAACGAGCGCAACCCUUAUCCUUAGUUACCAGCAUUGAGUUGGGGACUCUAGGGAGACUGCCGGUGUUAAACCGGAGGAAGGCGGGGAUGACGUCAAGUCCUCAUGGCCCUUACGGGUAGGGCUACACACGUACUACAAUGGCCGUGACAAAGAGUUGCUACUUUGUGAAAACAAGUUAAUCUCAUAAACGCGGCCUCAGUUCGGAUUGCAGGCUGGAACUCGCCUGCA
This 529-nucleotide ribosomal RNA is filed under the name uncultured bacterium. RNAcentral's name for it is "bacterial SSU rRNA". It matches the Rfam family "Bacterial small subunit ribosomal RNA", at positions 791 to 1320 of the family's 1533-position model. The record is from RNAcentral.